AGCAGCCGCGGUAAUUCCAGCUCCAAUAGCGUAUAUUAAAGUUGUUGCAGUUAAAAAGCUCGUAGUUGAAUUUCGGGAUCAAUAUGUCGGUCGUGCCUCCGGUACGUACUGGCAUCAUUGAUUUCUCCCUUCUGACGAACCAUGAUGUCAUUAAUUUGGUGUCAUGGGGAGUCAGGACUGUUACUUUGAAAAAUUAGAGUGUUUAAAGCAGGCUCACGCUUGAAUACAUUAGCAUGGAAUAAUGAAAUAGGACGUUUGAUCCUAUUUUGUUGGUUUCUAGGAUCGACGUAAUGAUUAAUAGGGAUAGUUGGGGCAUUAGUAUUCAAUUGUCAGAGGUGAAAUUCUUGGAUUUAUUGAAGACUAACUACUGCGAAAGCAUUUGCCAAGGAUGUUUUCAUUAAUCAAGAACGAAAGUUAGGGGAUCGAAGACGAUCAGAUACCGUCGUAGUA
This 450-nucleotide ribosomal RNA is filed under the name uncultured Glomeromycotina. RNAcentral describes it as "SSU rRNA". It matches the Rfam family "Eukaryotic small subunit ribosomal RNA", at positions 569 to 1025 of the family's 1831-position model. The record is from RNAcentral. Lineage: Eukaryota; Fungi; Glomeromycota.